CAGCCGCCGCGGGAACACGUAGGGUGCGAGCGUUAAUCGGAAUUACUGGGCGUAAAGCGUGCGCAGGCGGUUUUGUAAGACAGACGUGAAAUCCCCGGGCUCAACCUGGGAAUGGCGCUUGUGACUGCAAAGCUAGAGUGCGGCAGAGGGGGAUGGAAUUCCGCGUGUAGCAGUGAAAUGCGUAGAUAUGCGGAGGAACACCGAUGGCGAAGGCAAUCCCCUGGGCCUGCACUGACGCUCAUGCACGAAAGCGUGGGGAGCAAACAGGAUUAGAUACCCCCGUAGUCCCUGUCUCUUAUAC
RNAcentral lists this ribosomal RNA (301 nucleotides) under uncultured bacterium. Its description in RNAcentral is "partial 16S ribosomal RNA". It matches the Rfam family "Bacterial small subunit ribosomal RNA", at positions 509 to 807 of the family's 1533-position model. The record is from RNAcentral.